This 496-nucleotide ribosomal RNA is filed under the name uncultured bacterium. RNAcentral's name for it is "partial 16S ribosomal RNA". It matches the Rfam family "Bacterial small subunit ribosomal RNA", at positions 28 to 507 of the family's 1533-position model. The record is from RNAcentral.
GAUGAACGCUGGCGGCGUGCCUAAUACAUGCAAGUCGAGCGAACAGACGAGGAGCUUGCUCCUCUGACGUUAGCGGCGGACGGGUGAGUAACACGUGGAUAACCUACCUAUAAGACUGGGAUAACUUCGGGAAACCGGAGCUAAUACCGGAUAAUAUAUUGAACCGCAUGGUUCAAUAGUGAAAGACGGUUUGCUGUCACUUAUAGAUGGAUCCGCGCCGCAUUAGCUAGUUGGUAAGGUAACGGCUUACCAAGGCAACGAUGCGUAGCCGACCUGAGAGGGUGAUCGGCCACACUGGAACUGAGACACGGUCCAGACUCCUACGGGAGGCAGCAGUAGGGAAUCUUCCGCAAUGGGCGAAAGCCUGACGGAGCAACGCCGCGUGAGUGAUGAAGGUCUUCGGAUCGUAAAACUCUGUUAUUAGGGAAGAACAAAUGUGUAAGUAACUAUGCACGUCUUGACGGUACCUAACCAGAAAGCCACGGCUAACUACGUG